AACGAACGCUGGCGGCAUGCCUAACACAUGCAAGUCGAACGAGACCUUCGGGUCUAGUGGCGCACGGGUGCGUAACGCGUGGGAACCUGCCCUUAGGUUCGGAAUAACUCCCCGAAAGGGGUGCUAAUACCGGAUAAUGUAUUCGGACAAAAGAUUUAUCGCCUUUGGAUGGGCCCGCGUUGGUUUAGCUUGUUGGUAGGGUAAAAGCCUACCAAGGCGACGAUCCAUAGCUGGUCUGAGAGGAUGAUCAGCCACACUGGGACUGAGACACGGCCCAGACUCCUACGGGAGGCAGCAGUGGGGAAUAUUGGACAAUGGGCGAAAGCCUGAUCCAGCAAUGCCGCGUGAGUGAUGAAGGCCUUAGGGUUGUAAAGCUCUUUUACCCGGGAUGAUAAUGACAGUACCGGGAGAAUAAGCUCCGGCUAACUCCGUG
This 433-nucleotide ribosomal RNA is filed under the name uncultured bacterium. RNAcentral describes it as "partial 16S ribosomal RNA". It matches the Rfam family "Bacterial small subunit ribosomal RNA", at positions 29 to 507 of the family's 1533-position model. The record is from RNAcentral.